Molecule: ribosomal RNA, 317 nt
Filed under: uncultured bacterium
Lineage: Bacteria
Description: bacterial SSU rRNA
Rfam family: Bacterial small subunit ribosomal RNA
Source: RNAcentral
GACGAACGCUGGCGGCGUGCCUAAUACAUGCAAGUAGAACGCUGAGGACUGGUGCUUGCACUGGUCUAAGGAGUUGCGAACGGGUGAGUAACGCGUAGGUAACCUACCUCAUAGCGGGGGAUAACUAUUGGAAACGAUAGCUAAUACCGCAUGACAAUAGGGUACACAUGUACCCUAUUUAAAAGGGGCAAAUGCUUCACUAUGAGAUGGACCUGCGUUGUAUUAGACUAGUUGGUAAGGUAACGGCUUACCAAGGCGACGAUGGGUAACCGGCCUGAGAGGGUGAACGGUCACAUUGGAACUGAGACACGGUCCAA